RNAcentral lists this long non-coding RNA (533 nucleotides) under Marmota monax (woodchuck). The record is from RNAcentral. Lineage: Eukaryota; Metazoa; Chordata; Mammalia; Rodentia; Sciuridae.
CUCCAGCUGAGCGCUCCAAGGCCGAACCAGCGGGCCGGGCGGUCUGUGAGUGGGCGGCAGGUCUCUGGGGGAGGGGCUGCGGCGUUGACGGGCAGGCUGGCGGUCCCGCCCCUCUCGCCCAGAGCGGCCGCGCCAGAGCUGGGGACAGCAGAAGUGAGUACGUGAGCGGCGCAGCAAGAACCCAGCUCGGACCCCGGACGGAGAGCGCACCCGGAGACCCGGAUCUGAGUCGGGCCCCCGGCGGACUGCCGGAUUAUUGUGCACCUCGAACCACGACCACCUGCUCCCUCCUGCCUCCCGGAGUCCUCGGCAUCCAGUCACCCUGCGCCCCGGAUCCUCCUGGACCGGUCGGUCCGGAUUCCCGCGGGACCAACCUGCCCGCAUCCCUCAAGAUCGCCGGGCUCGGGGCGCCGCCUCGGUCCCAGAGCCGCCCGCCUGGAUUGCACCCCUUCUUACCCGGGUCUCCUGGGACCGUAAGCCAGCCUACCCAGGAGCCUGCCAAGCGGACCCUCUCUCGGGUGCACGCAGCCCCG